RNAcentral lists this ribosomal RNA (294 nucleotides) under Cryptosporidium parvum. Its description in RNAcentral is "partial 18S ribosomal RNA". The stretch from base 108 to 294 matches the Rfam family "Eukaryotic small subunit ribosomal RNA", at positions 751 to 942 of the family's 1831-position model. The record is from RNAcentral. Lineage: Eukaryota; Apicomplexa; Conoidasida; Eucoccidiorida; Cryptosporidiidae.
UAAAGCUCGUAGUUGGAUUUCUGUUAAUAAUUUAUAUAAAAUAUUUUGAUGAAUAUUUAUAUAAUAUUAACAUAAUUCAUAUUACUAUAUAUUUUAGUAUAUGAAAUUUUACUUUGAGAAAAUUAGAGUGCUUAAAGCAGGCAUAUGCCUUGAAUACUCCAGCAUGGAAUAAUAUUAAAGAUUUUUAUCUUUCUUAUUGGUUCUAAGAUAAGAAUAAUGAUUAAUAGGGACAGUUGGGGGCAUUUGUAUUUAACAGUCAGAGGUGAAAUUCUUAGAUUUGUUAAAGACAAACUA